UACGUAGGGUCCGAGCGUUGUCCGGAAUUACUGGGCGUAAAGAGCUCGUAGGUGGUUUGUCGCGUUGUUCGUGAAAACUCACAGCUCAACUGUGGGCGUGCGGGCGAUACGGGCAGACUAGAGUACUGCAGGGGAGACUGGAAUUCCUGGCGUAGCGGUGGAAUGCGCAGAUAUCAGGAGGAACACCGGUGGCGAAGGCGGGUCUCUGGGACGGUACUGACGCUGAGACGCGAAAGCGUGGGGAGCGAACAGG
RNAcentral lists this ribosomal RNA (253 nucleotides) under uncultured bacterium. Its description in RNAcentral is "partial 16S ribosomal RNA". It matches the Rfam family "Bacterial small subunit ribosomal RNA", at positions 524 to 776 of the family's 1533-position model. The record is from RNAcentral.